RNAcentral lists this ribosomal RNA (253 nucleotides) under uncultured bacterium. Its description in RNAcentral is "partial 16S ribosomal RNA". It matches the Rfam family "Bacterial small subunit ribosomal RNA", at positions 524 to 776 of the family's 1533-position model. The record is from RNAcentral.
CACGUAGGGCGCAAGCGUUGUCCGGAAUUAUUGGGCGUAAAGAGCUCGUAGGCGGUCUGUUGCGUCCGCUGUGAAAACUCGGGGCUUAACCCCGAGCCUGCAGUGGAUACGGGCAGACUAGAGGUAGGUAGGGGAGAAUGGAAUUCCCGGUGUAGCGGUGAAAUGCGUAGAUAUCAAGAGGAACACCUGAGGUGAAGACGGGUUGCUGGGCCAACACUGACGCUGAUGCGCGAAAGCCAGGGGAGCAAACGGG